CAGCUUUCUCCUUCACAGCAUUGCAGGAGCUUGCAGCCUGAAACAUCAGUCAGAUGAGAUCUUGGGUGAAGAGAAAAGACUGUAUAACAUAUUUACUGUCUGCUGAGUGCAUAAGAAUGCAGUCUCUGCCAGUCACUGGAGACAUCAAGCCCUGACCACUACAGGAAGCACUUGGUUUCCAUUACAUAAAAUUUACACAUUUGGAUUUG
RNAcentral lists this small RNA (209 nucleotides) under Pan troglodytes (chimpanzee). RNAcentral's name for it is "processed transcript". The record is from RNAcentral. Lineage: Eukaryota; Metazoa; Chordata; Mammalia; Primates; Hominidae.